This 468-nucleotide ribosomal RNA is filed under the name uncultured bacterium. RNAcentral's name for it is "partial 16S ribosomal RNA". It matches the Rfam family "Bacterial small subunit ribosomal RNA", at positions 28 to 507 of the family's 1533-position model. The record is from RNAcentral.
GACGAACGCUGGCGGCGUGCUUAACACAUGCAAGUCGAACGGAAAGGCCCUGCUUUUGUGGGUUGCUCGAGUGGCGAACGGGUGAGUAACACGUGAGUAACCUGCCCUUGACUUUGGGAUAACUUCAGGAAACUGGGGCUAAUACCGGAUAUGAGCUCCUGCUGCAUGGUGGGGGUUGGAAAGUUUCGGCGGUUGGGGAUGGACUCGCGGCUUAUCAGCUUGUUGGUGGGGUAGUGGCUUACCAAGGCUUUGACGGGUAGCCGGCCUGAGAGGGUGACCGGCCACAUGGGGACUGAGAUACGGCCCAGAAUCCUACGGGAGGCAGCAGUGGGGAAUAUUGCACAAUGGGCGGAAGCCUGAUGCAGCAACGCCGCGUGCGGGAUGACGGCCUUCGGGUUGUAAACCGCUUUCGCCUGUGACGAAGCGUGAGUGACGGUAAUGGGUAAAGAAGCACCGGCUAACUACGUG